This 429-nucleotide ribosomal RNA is filed under the name Verrucomicrobiota bacterium. Its description in RNAcentral is "Verrucomicrobia bacterium partial 16S ribosomal RNA". It matches the Rfam family "Bacterial small subunit ribosomal RNA", at positions 355 to 776 of the family's 1533-position model. Lineage: Bacteria; Pseudomonadati; Verrucomicrobiota. The record is from RNAcentral.
UAGGGAAUCUUCGGCAAUGGGGGGAACCCUGACCGAGCAACGCCGCGUGAGUGAAGAAGGUUUUCGGAUCGUAAAGCUCUGUUGUUAAGGAAGAACGAGUGUGAGAAUGGAAAGUUCAUGCUGUGACGGUACUUAACCAGAAAGGGACGGCUAACUACGUGCCAGCAGCCGCGGUAAUACGUAGGUCCCGAGCGUUGUCCGGAUUUAUUGGGCGUAAAGUGAGCGCAGGCGGUUAGAAAAGUCUGAAGUGAAAGGCAGUGGCUCAACCAUUGUAGGCUUUGGAAACUGUUUAACUUGAGUGCAGAAGGGGAGAGUGGAAUUCCAUGUGUAGCGGUGAAAUGCGUAGAUAUAUGGAGGAACACCGGUGGCGAAAGCGGCUCUCUGGUCUGUAACUGACGCUGAGGCUCGAAAGCGUGGGGAGCGAACAGG